Molecule: ribosomal RNA, 1105 nt
Filed under: Mycobacterium tuberculosis 3499MM
Lineage: Bacteria; Bacillati; Actinomycetota; Actinomycetes; Mycobacteriales; Mycobacteriaceae
Description: bacterial SSU rRNA
Rfam family: Bacterial small subunit ribosomal RNA
Source: RNAcentral
AGAGUUUGAUCCUGGCUCAGGACGAACGCUGGCGGCGUGCUUAACACAUGCAAGUCGAACGGAAAGGUCUCUUCGGAGAUACUCGAGUGGCGAACGGGUGAGUAACACGUGGGUGAUCUGCCCUGCACUUCGGGAUAAGCCUGGGAAACUGGGUCUAAUACCGGAUAGGACCACGGGAUGCAUGUCUUGUGGUGGAAAGCGCUUUAGCGGUGUGGGAUGAGCCCGCGGCCUAUCAGCUUGUUGGUGGGGUGACGGCCUACCAAGGCGACGACGGGUAGCCGGCCUGAGAGGGUGUCCGGCCACACUGGGACUGAGAUACGGCCCAGACUCCUACGGGAGGCAGCAGUGGGGAAUAUUGCACAAUGGGCGCAAGCCUGAUGCAGCGACGCCGCGUGGGGGAUGACGGCCUUCGGGUUGUAAACCUCUUUCACCAUCGACGAAGGUCCGGGUUCUCUCGGAUUGACGGUAGGUGGAGAAGAAGCACCGGCCAACUACGUGCCAGCAGCCGCGGUAAUACGUAGGGUGCGAGCGUUGUCCGGAAUUACUGGGCGUAAAGAGCUCGUAGGUGGUUUGUCGCGUUGUUCGUGAAAUCUCACGGCUUAACUGUGAGCGUGCGGGCGAUACGGGCAGACUAGAGUACUGCAGGGGAGACUGGAAUUCCUGGUGUAGCGGUGGAAUGCGCAGAUAUCAGGAGGAACACCGGUGGCGAAGGCGGGUCUCUGGGCAGUAACUGACGCUGAGGAGCGAAAGCGUGGGGAGCGAACAGGAUUAGAUACCCUGGUAGUCCACGCCGUAAACGGUGGGUACUAGGUGUGGGUUUCCUUCCUUGGGAUCCGUGCCGUAGCUAACGCAUUAAGUACCCCGCCUGGGGAGUACGGCCGCAAGGCUAAAACUCAAAGGAAUUGACGGGGGCCCGCACAAGCGGCGGAGCAUGUGGAUUAAUUCGAUGCAACGCGAAGAACCUUACCUGGGUUUGACAUGCACAGGACGCGUCUAGAGAUAGGCGUUCCCUUGUGGCCUGUGUGCAGGUGGUGCAUGGCUGUCGUCAGCUCGUGUCGUGAGAUGUUGGGUUAAGUCCCGCAACGAGCGCAACCCUUGUCUCAUG